UACGAAGGGGGCUAGCGUUGUUCGGAAUUACUGGGCGUAAAGCGCACGUAGGCGGACUUUCAAGUCAGGGGUGAAAUCCCGGGGCUCAACCCCGGAACUGCCUUUGAUACUGUUGGUCUGGAGCUCGGAAGAGGUGGGUGGAAUUCCUAGUGUAGAGGUGAAAUUCGUAGAUAUUAGGAAGAACACCAGUGGCGAAGGCGGCCCACUGGUCCGAUGCUGACGCUGAGGUGCGAAAGCGUGGGGAGCAAACAGG
This 253-nucleotide ribosomal RNA is filed under the name uncultured bacterium. RNAcentral describes it as "partial 16S ribosomal RNA". It matches the Rfam family "Bacterial small subunit ribosomal RNA", at positions 524 to 776 of the family's 1533-position model. The record is from RNAcentral.